This 511-nucleotide ribosomal RNA is filed under the name uncultured bacterium. RNAcentral describes it as "bacterial SSU rRNA". It matches the Rfam family "Bacterial small subunit ribosomal RNA", at positions 17 to 518 of the family's 1533-position model. The record is from RNAcentral.
UCCUGGCUUAGGAUGAACGCUAGCUACAGGCUUAACACAUGCAAGUCGAGGGGCAGCAUAUCGAAAGCUUGCUUCGAUGAUGGCGACCGGCGCACGGGUGAGUAACGCGUAUCCAACCUUCCCCUUAGUAGGGCAUAGCCCGGCGAAAGUCGGAUUAAUACCCUAUGUUCUUCGUAGAGGACAUCUGAAAUGAAGCAAAGGUUUACCGCUAAGGGAUGGGGAUGCGUCUGAUUAGGUAGUAGGCGGGGUAACGGCCCACCUAGCCUGCGAUCAGUAGGGGUUCUGAGAGGAAGGUCCCCCACAUUGGAACUGAGACACGGUCCAAACUCCUACGGGAGGCAGCAGUGAGGAAUAUUGGUCAAUGGGCGCGAGCCUGAACCAGCCAAGUAGCGUGCAGGAUGACGGCCCUAUGGGUUGUAAACUGCUUUUAUCAGGGGAUAAAGUGAGGGACGCGUCCCUUUUUGUAGGUACCUGAUGAAUAAGGACCGGCUAAUUCCGUGCCAGCCGCCGC